Pan troglodytes (chimpanzee) is the source of this 590-nucleotide long non-coding RNA. RefSeq lists it as uncharacterized. NCBI's taxonomy places the organism in Eukaryota, Metazoa, Chordata, Mammalia, Primates, Hominidae. The transcript is spliced from 2 exons. The record is from RefSeq and is a predicted model, not a curated record.
AAUAUGAAAGCUGCACCUUUACUAGUUAGCUACCAUGCGUCAUUAUUUAUCAGAAGAUAUAUGCUGCUUAAACACAAAUACGUUUUAAAAUAUAUUUUAGGCAGUAGGGUUUUGGGGUUUUUUUUGCAAGUUCUUUUACUGAGUAAAUUUAAUGAUAAAUGAUUUUUUUUUUCUUUUGAGACAGUUUGAUCUGUCGCCCAGGAUGGAGUGCAGUGCAGUGGCGCGAUCCUGCAACCUCCGCCUCUCGAGUUCAAGCGAUUCUCCUGCCUCAGCCUCCCGAGUAGCUGGGAUUACAGACGCGCGCCACCCCACCCAGAUGAUCUUUUUAAAUGCAAAAUGCCAUCGACGCAGAAAAUCAAAGAAUCAGCUUAAGUUCCAGAAAAAAGAAAAACCAACCAAAUGAACAAUAAGACAACAACAACAACAACAAAAAAGGCCUUUUGGGAUUUUGGAUGGUAUUGCAUCAAAUCCAUACAUUAACCUGAGAGACGAGAGACUUCUUCAACAUUGAGCCUUCCAAUCAUGAUUUUCAAUUCAUUUAGGUCUUCUGUAAUGUUUCUUAAUAUAAUUGUAUUUGUUGCUAUGCAGAA